Long non-coding RNA from Alexandromys fortis (reed vole), 1118 nucleotides. RefSeq lists it as uncharacterized. Lineage: Eukaryota; Metazoa; Chordata; Mammalia; Rodentia; Cricetidae. The transcript has 4 exons. The record is from RefSeq and is a predicted model, not a curated record.
AGGUCAGGGAGGGGCCAGAAACGUCUUCCCGUACCUGGUAUUCAGCUCUCUGAGGGCACUUGAUGGGGUCUGUAGGUACAUGUGUAUAAUGAUGUUUUGUUGAGGGCUGUGUUUGUGAUGUGUGACGUUGAGGUCCUUCAAGUUAUUCUAGGCAGCAAGGCCCCUGAAUGUCAGCUCUUCUCUACACCUUGGGUUACCACGUAAGCAGAAAGGUCAGACUCACACUUAUUCACUACUGAAUAGUGCCCGGGGUUGUGAUGCUUCCCUUUGCCGUCCCCUGCCCAUGGAACUGCAGGAAAGUGGCCAAGGCCCAGGUAACCGCCAGCACAAAUAAUCUGGGGAAACACACGGAACCUGAACACCGGUAGAAAGGAGGGCAGUCCAAAGAUCAGCAAUAGAAACAAGGUUGCAGCCACCAGAACUUCACCAGCAGCCAGAUGCUACAGCAGGUGGUGAUCUCAGCCAGUCCCCCACGUGGGAACCCAGUCUUCUCAGUCCUCAUUCCCUGGGUACCACGUCUUCCUCAGACUUUGUACCUCACUCCAUGCAUUUAGUGCCAAACUGUGGUGAUGCUUCAAAUUGCCGUUUUCAACCAAAACACACCUUCUGAGAGGAGUGCUAGAAGCCUGAGCUCUGACACUAAAGAAUGGGAUUCCAACACCCGCACAUAUAUUUCAGGGAUCAGGUACUUCCAACACUGGCACAGAACGAGGAGCAGGAGGUAUUUGCCAACGUGUGGAACUGGAGUCUGAGGUUCCCUUUCCUCCUCCUCCGUUUGGAAUCUAGGUCCUGUCUCAGCGUGGGCCACUAGAGUGGUGGAGAUAGCUAAAACUGAAACUCUGCAGCCUCCUCCUACAUGUGCCUUUCCCUCAGGAGAAAAGAAAUAGGGAAAGGGAGAGUGGGGAGUCCGGUUUCCCUCAUUCUCAGGUGUCCCUAGCCACAUGCAGCCUCAAAGCUGUUCCCUGAUCUUUCCACUUCAUGGUCCGCUCAAGGCCUGGGAGGGAUCAAUGGGCCGGUCCCACAGGCUCGAAGUUGCCCACCUGCAUCGAUCCAGAUUCCUGCCAGGAGAGACUAACGUCUGUCUCAGGUGGGCAGGUGGAAGGCGGAGUGGGACGUGA